RNAcentral lists this ribosomal RNA (631 nucleotides) under uncultured bacterium. RNAcentral describes it as "bacterial SSU rRNA". It matches the Rfam family "Bacterial small subunit ribosomal RNA", at positions 56 to 734 of the family's 1533-position model. The record is from RNAcentral.
UGCAGUCGAUCGCUCUUUUCGGAGAGAGAGGCGCACGGGUGAGUAACACGUGGGAAUAUACCCUUGAGUACGGAAUAACUAUUGGAAACGAUAGCUAAUACCGUAUACGCCCUACGGGGGAAAGAUUUAUCGCUCAAGGAUUAGCCCGCGUCUGAUUAGCUAGUUGGUGAGGUAAUGGCUCACCAAGGCGACGAUCAGUAGCUGGUUUGAGAGAAUGAUCAGCCACACUGGGACUGAGACACGGCCCAGACUCCUACGGGAGGCAGCAGUGGGGAAUAUUGGACAAUGGGCGCAAGCCUGAUCCAGCCAUGCCGCGUGAGUGAAGAAGGCCUUCGGGUUGUAAAGCUCUUUCAGACGUGAAGAUGAUGACGGUAACGUCAGAAGAAGCCCCGGCUAACUUCGUGCCAGCAGCCGCGGUAAUACGAAGGGGGCAAGCGUUGUUCGGAAUUACUGGGCGUAAAGCGCGCGUAGGCGGCGUCGUCAGUCAGAGGUGAAAUCCCAGGGCUCAACCUUGGAAUUGCCUUUGAUACUGCGAUGCUUGAGUUCGAGAGAGGGUGGCGGAAUACCCAGUGUAGAGGUGAAAUUCGUAGAUAUUGGGUAGAACACCAGUGGCGAAGGCGGCCACCUGGCU